UGCGUACGAAGUUCGUUAUGAAAUGGAGUGGUUGUUGUAUUGUAUAGUUGUAGAGAUUGGAUUUCACUCAAAACCAACCAAAUGACUCCUCCCACCGCACUAUGAUGUUUCCCAAGUUUUGGACUCAAUCCAAUAUCGAUUGCUCCAUGAAAUUGAACAAUUCAGGUGCGUACGAAGUUCGUUAUAAAAUGGAGUGGUUGUUGUAUUGCAUAGUUGUAGAGAUUGGAUUUCACUCAAAACCAACCAAAUGACUCCUCCCACCAUAUUAUGAUGUUUCUCAAGUUUUGGACUCAAUCCGAUAACGAUUGGUCCAUGAAAUUGAACAAGUCAGGUGCGUACGAAGUUCGUUAUGAAAUGGAGUGGUUGUUGUAUUGCAUAGUUGUAGAGAUUGGAUUUCACUCAAAACCAACCAAAUGACUCCUCCCACCAUAUUAUGAUGUUUCCCAAGUUUUGGACUCAAUCCGAUAUCGAUUGGUCCAUGAAAUUGAACAAUUCAGGUGCGUACGAAGUUCGUUAUGAAAUGGAGUGGUUGUUGUAUUGCAUAGUUGUAGAGAUUGGAUUUCACUCAAAACCAACCAAAUGACUCCUCCCACCGUACUAUGAUGUUUCCCAAGUUUUGGACUCAAUCCAACAUCGAUUGGUCCAUGAAAUUGAACAAUUCAGGUGCGUACGAAGUUCGUUAUGAAAUGGAGUGGUUGUUGUAUUGCAUAGUUGUAGAGAUUGGAUUUCAUUCAAAACCAACCAAAUGACUCCUCCCACCAUAUUAUGAUGUUCCCCAAGUUUUGGACUCAAUCCGAUAUCGAUUGGUCCAUGAAAUUGAACAAUUCAGGUGCGUACGAAGUUCGUUAUCAAAUGGAGUGGUUGGUGUAUUACAUAGUUGUAGAGAUUGGAUUUCACUCAAAACCCACCAAAUCACUCCUCCCACCACAUUUUGAUUUCUUGGACUCAAUCCGAUAUCGAUUGGUCCACGAAAUUGUACAAUUUAGGUUUGUACGAAGUUCGUUCUGAAAUGGGGUGGUUGUUGUAUUGCAUAGUUCUAGAGAUUGAAUUUCACUCAAAACCCCCUAAAUGACUCCUCCCACCACAUUAUGAUGAUCCCCAUGUUUUGGACUCAGUCCGAUAUCGAUUUGUCCAUGAAAUUGUACAAUUUAGGUUCGUACGAAGUUCGUUCUGCAAUGGAGUGGUUGUUGUAUUGCACAGUUCUAGAUAUUGAAUUUCACUCAAAGCCCACCAAAUGACUCCUCCCACCAUAUUGUGAUGAUCCCCAAGUUUUGGACUCAAUCCGAUAUAGAUUGGUCCAUGAAAUUGGACAAUUCAGGUUCGUACGAAGUUCAUUAUGAAAUGGAUUGGUUGUUGUAUUGCAUAGUUUUAGCCAUUGGAUUUCACUCAAAAGUCACCAAAUGACUCCUCCCACCAUAUUAUGAUGUUCCCCAAGUUUUGCACUCAAUCCGAUAUUGAUUGGUCCAUGAAAUUGGACAAUUUAGGUUGGUACGAAGUUCGUUCUUAAAUGGAGUGGUUGGUGUAUUGCACAGUUUUAGCCAUUGGAUUUCACCCAAAAGUCCCCAAAUGACUCCUCCCAUCACAUUAUGAUGUUCCCCAUGUUUUGGACUCAAUCCGAUACCGAUUGAUCCAUGAAAUUGGUCAAUUCAGGUUCGAACGAAGUUCGUUCUGAAAUUGAGUGGUUUGUGUAUUUCAAAGUUUUAGCCAUUGAAUUUCACUCAAAAGUCACCAAAUGACUCCUUCCACCAUAUUAUGAUGUUCCCCAAGUUUUGGACUCGAUUCGAUACCGAUUGAUCCACGAAACUGGUCAUUUCAGGUUCAUACCAAGUUCGUUACGAAAUGGAGUGGGUGGUGUAUUGCGUAGUUUUAGCCAUUGGAUUUCACUCAAAAGUCACCAAAUGACUCCUCCUACCAUAUUAUGAUGUUCCCCAAGUUUUGGAAUUAAUCCGAUAUCAAUUGGUCCAUCAAAUUGGUCAAUUCAGGUUCGUACGAAGUUUGUUCUAAAAUGGAGUGGUUGGUGUAUUGCAUAGUUCUAGAGAUUGGAUUUCACUCAAAACCCACCAAAUGACUCCUCCCACAAUAUUAUGAUGAUCCCCAAGUUUUGGACUCAAUCCGAUAUCGAUUGGUCCAUGAAAUUGGACAAUUUAGGUUCGUACGAAGUUCGUUAUGAAAUAGGGUGGGUGGUGUAUUGCAUUGUUUUAGCAAUUGGAUGUCAUCCAAAAGUCACCAAAUGACUCCUCCCAUCACAUUAUGAUGUUCCCCAGGUGUUGGACUUAAUCCGAUAUCGAUUGGUCCAUGAAAUCGAACAAUUCAGGUUCGUACUAAGUUCGUUCUCAAAUGGAGUGGUUGGUGUAUUGCAUAGUUUUAGCCAUUGGAUUUCACUCAAAUAUCACCAAAUGACUCCUCCCACCAUAUUAAGAUUUUCCCCAAGUUUUGGACUCAAUCCGAUAUCAAUUAGUCCCUGAAAUUCGACAAUUCAAGUUCAUACGAAGUUCGUUGUGAAAUGGAGUGAUUUGUGUAUUUCAAAGUUUUAGCCAUUGGAUUUCAUUCAAAACUCACCAAAU
Molecule: long non-coding RNA, 2564 nt
Filed under: Prunus persica (peach)
Lineage: Eukaryota; Viridiplantae; Streptophyta; Magnoliopsida; Rosales; Rosaceae
Description: long non-coding RNA (PPER_LNC005244)
Source: RNAcentral